GACGAACGCUGGCGGCGUGCUUAACACAUGCAAGUCGAACGAAGAGCGAUGGAAGCUUGCUUCUAUCAAUCUUAGUGGCGAACGGGUGAGUAACGCGUAAUCAACCUGCCCUUCAGAGGGGGACAACAGUUGGAAACGACUGCUAAUACCGCAUACGAUCUAAUCUCGGCAUCGAGGAUAGAUGAAAGGUGGCCUCUACAUUUAAGCUAUCACUGAAGGAGGGGAUUGCGUCUGAUUAGCUAGUUGGAGGGGUAACGGCCCACCAAGGCGAUGAUCAGUGGCCGGUCUGAGAGGAUGAACGGCCACAUUGGGACUGAGACACGGCCCAGACUCCUACGGGAGGCAGCAGUGGGGAAUCUUCCGCAAUGGACGAAAGUCUGACGGAGCAACGCCGCGUGAGUGAUGACGGCCUUCGGGUUGUAAAGCUCUGUUAAUCGGGACGAAAGGCCUUCUUGCGAAUAGUGAGAAGGAUUGACGGUACCGGAAUAGAAAGCCACGGCUAACUACGUG
This 510-nucleotide ribosomal RNA is filed under the name uncultured bacterium. Its description in RNAcentral is "partial 16S ribosomal RNA". It matches the Rfam family "Bacterial small subunit ribosomal RNA", at positions 28 to 507 of the family's 1533-position model. The record is from RNAcentral.